CUUCGUACAAUUCAUUUUUUAAAAUUCAGCAUUUUUGAAAGAUUUGUAUUUUCAUAGUAAGACAUUUAGAGUGAUUUUUAACCAAAACAUGCUCUUUUUUUAAUUUUGUAUUAAGUGCUUUUUUAUUAGAUGCUAUUUUGCUUGUUUUUUUUUUUUUUAAUAUUAUUAAAGAGUUAUUCAUUUAAAUAGCCUCAGAUUGAUGUAUGGUAAACCAGUAAUUUAUAGAUUUGUAAAAAGCAGUGUUCUAGUUUUUACUAUGAAAACUUCAUUUUUGCUGAAAGGUCAUAAGAGAAUAUUAAAAAAUUCUGUUAAAUUACCAAGGUAAAAAACAUUAACCUUAGAAGAAAAGAAACUUGUUUAUUUGAACACAGGAUGCCAACAAAAACAACGAUGUUAUUCAGUAAUACUGCCUUCCAAUAUUUUUGUAUUAUCAUUCAUUUUAAUUCCCUUUUUUUUAGGUUAAGGCUAUGCUUAAAGAUUAUAAUUUUUAUCCAAUUAUUUUCUGUUAUUAAAUAUCUUCCAUAUUGUUUAAGAUUUGUUAAAAUAUUGCUCAUGUAUAUAUUUUAAGCUAUACAAAUUAACCAAGUAUUUUUACUUUCCAAGGGUUCUGAAUGUCAUUUGGUAACCAUGGUAACCACAUGCUUUUUAACUUCGUAUCUACCUGUAGACAUUUUUAUAAGUAUAACAUAUAUUGUAAUGUGUAUUUUACUUACCGGUACUUGCCAAAAAAAUAAAAGUGAGAUUUGUUAGCUUCAUGUCUUUAUUAAAAUUACAUAUUUCUGAUGCUGUUGAAUGUACAUGUACAUAAAAUAUGUAUUUAUUCUUAUACACUAUAAAUAGUUUCUAUUGUCUAUUGCUUUCAGUUAUACUGAGAAUCUAUAACAUAUAUAAUUUUUCUUACAAAUUUUUUAGGCACAAACCUUAAUUUCCACUGCUUGAAGGAUUCAGACUCAUUUCACAAAAAAUCUUACGAAAAAUUAUGUGUAAGUCAUGAAAAUUUCAGUAUAUAUAUAUGUAACUUACAAUCAAUUUUUGUCAUAAGAUGUUUUUUAAAAAGAGCCCUUGAGACUUUUUAGUACAUAACUUUUGUGUUCAUUAUUGUGUAUACUUUCCACAUAAAUUGUCAGCAUUGUUGUUUCUGGUGUGACAGAGAUAUAAGUAGCUACACAUUUACAAAAUGUAUACAAAUAUUAAACAACAAAUUAUGGUUCUUAGACUUCAUGAUAAACCCUCAUACCUUAGUUUUACACUACAAAUAAAAAUUGAUAAGUAUUUAAUGAGGUGCAAAUCAAAGGAGAUUAUCAGAUUAAAUUCUAAAGGCAAUUUAAUACUGUGUAAUUAAAUUGCUCUUUUAUUUAAUGUAGUUAUAUGUUUAGUAUAUCAAUUAAUGGGACAGAGGAAGGAAAAUAAAAAAAACCAAAAAACACAGAAAACUUCAUUUUUUUUGGUUCAAUAGAAUCAUUCUAAAUUAUAUGGUUAAAUUUACAAUGGUGUUCUUUUUCAUUCUAAAAUAUAUUUUUUUCUUUUAAUUAAUCUACUUAUUAAAGUUAUUUUCUUACACAUAAAUUCAUUCUGGUUAAAUUAUAUGUUUAUAUAUUUUUCCUUUUCAUUCAAAAUUUAUUCCAUUCAUUUUUUUUCUUUCUAAUUCAUCUGUAUAUUUAAGUUCUUUCUUGAAGAUUCUGGUACAAGUCUAGAAGAUUCAUAUAAACAACUACUAGUAAAGGGGAGAUAAUCAAUGAAUUUUUCAUUUUUUUUAGUCUCAGACUCAGAUUAGGGAUUUUUGUAUGAUAGGUAUAUAUAUGCUAAUCAAUUUUAAAUGAAGAAUAUUUUCUGUGAAAUUUUACACCUUGUUCUUUUAACACUAGCAUCUGCAGUGAAAACAUAAGAUUUUGUAAUAAGGUGGCAUUUGUUGAUAUUUUAAAAAAAAUUUAAAACCGAUUGAGCUGAAAUCUUUCAAUUUGUUAUAUCAUCAAUUUUACUUUGUUUGUCUUAUUUAUCUUAAUUAUUAUAUAUGUCUAGUUUCAAGUCAUGUCAUUUUUUUUUAGAGUAGAAUUUUUACUAGAGCAAACUACAAUUCACCAUUAUUGUAAUGCUGAUAUGGCUAUGGAAAUGUUGAACUUUAAAAUAUUUUGACUUAAAAUUUCAUUUCAUAAUAACAUCAUUUGAUCCAAUGUAUAAAUGUGUUUAUAUGUUAAACCUUAUACAUUUUUGUAAGCAAAAGAAAGGUAUACAUGUUCUGAAAAUUUUUGUGUUGUGUUUUUUUUUUACUAUUUUUUUUUCAUUCAAAUUUUGAGAAAUAAAAAAUAUGGAGCAAUUACAUAAAAUUCUGGGUAUGAAAGUUUUAGUGGAACUUGAUUAAAGUGGAAAAAAAUUAAUUGUGAACAUUUUCUAUACAUUCACAUUUUGAUUAUUUCUAUUGAAAUGGGAGGUAACAAAAAAGGGGAGAUAACUUUUGAUUCAACUUUUACAAUCGAAAUGGAACUUGAAAGUGCAUAACAAGAUUAUGAACAUUUAUAGUUGAACUGUAUUAGAAUAUACCUGCCCAAGUGGCACAUGUUAAUUAAGAGACAUUUUGACACAAAAAAAUAAUUAAAUAGAUAUAUUGUUUUUGGAGUUACCACUGAUGCUCAAUAUGUAUUGUAAGAUGUUCUGAUAUGAUACAAAUUCAAUUGUUUAUUUUUUUUUUGUAUAACCUUCAUUGUUAUAUAUACUGCAUGUAUAUAAAUAGUAUUUCAUAUUUUCUCAGAGUUUUAUAAACUGAUUUUUUUUCUAAAGUGCUGCCAAAUUAAAUCAUUCACUGAUAUACAUUUACAUUUCAGUCCAAAGAUUUGAUUUUUUAGUGUAGUGCUAAUAAUUUGAAACCAAUUGUUGGCCAAAUGGAGCUUUGUUUGAAAGUUAACUUAUAAGUGUUUACAUGCUAAUAUGUAUUCUUUAUUGUUCAUUAAAUGAACUUUAGUUUCACAUUAAUUUAUUCCUUUGCAAAAAUUUCAUUUUUUUUUUUUCACACAUGAGCAUAUUUUGUAUGAGCUAGAAUAAUUUAUUUUAAAUGGCAGUUACUUUUAAAUUUUUCCUUCAAGUGCCUUUGUUCAAGAUAAUACUGUGGAUUCAUUAUUAUUCGUUGGAUACCAAUUUUCGUGGAUUUCGUGGGUACCGGGAAACCAUGAAUUUAAAUAUUCAACGAAUUGCAAUUUUUUUAAAGGAAUAUAUGCAUACUUUGUAAAAACCACGAAAUUAAAUAUCCACGAAUAUGCAAGUUUUCCUCAUACCACAAAAAUUGGUACCCACGAAAAUAAAUGAAUCCUCCGUAUACACAUUUUAAUAUAUUUACUAUAAAUUGAAAUGUACAAAGUAUGUGAAGGUUUAAUUUCUUGAUUUCAGUCAAUAUUCAGCAUGUUAACCAGCAUGUAAAUGAAACAAACAAAUACUAGAUUUCUUAAGGAGGCUCGAGGGUAUAAAAAUUUUAGAAACAAAUCAAACAUUUGUUUUCAUUACAAUUUUUUUAUUUCCUUUUGUAGUUAUUACUUUAUCAU
Molecule: long non-coding RNA, 3530 nt
Filed under: Mytilus galloprovincialis (Mediterranean mussel)
Lineage: Eukaryota; Metazoa; Mollusca; Bivalvia; Mytilida; Mytilidae
Source: RNAcentral